This 312-nucleotide ribosomal RNA is filed under the name Escherichia coli. RNAcentral's name for it is "partial 23S ribosomal RNA". It matches the Rfam family "Bacterial large subunit ribosomal RNA", at positions 2619 to 2925 of the family's 2925-position model. The record is from RNAcentral. Lineage: Bacteria; Pseudomonadati; Pseudomonadota; Gammaproteobacteria; Enterobacterales; Enterobacteriaceae.
UCGUGAGACAGUUCGGUCCCUAUCUGCCGUGGGCGCUGGAGAACUGAGGGGGGCUGCUCCUAGUACGAGAGGACCGGAGUGGACGCAUCACUGGUGUUCGGGUUGUCAUGCCAAUGGCACUGCCCGGUAGCUAAAUGCGGAAGAGAUAAGUGCUGAAAGCAUCUAAGCACGAAACUUGCCCCGAGAUGAGUUCUCCCUGACUCCUUGAGAGUCCUGAAGGAACGUUGAAGACGACGACGUUGAUAGGCCGGGUGUGUAAGCGCAGCGAUGCGUUGAGCUAACCGGUACUAAUGAACCGUGAGGCUUAACCUU